This 435-nucleotide ribosomal RNA is filed under the name uncultured Lachnospiraceae bacterium. Its description in RNAcentral is "partial 16S ribosomal RNA". It matches the Rfam family "Bacterial small subunit ribosomal RNA", at positions 341 to 792 of the family's 1533-position model. The record is from RNAcentral. Lineage: Bacteria; Bacillati; Bacillota; Clostridia; Lachnospirales; Lachnospiraceae.
ACGGAAGGCAGCAGUGGGGAAUAUUGCACAAUGGGCGAAAGCCUGAUGCAGCGACGCCGCGUGAACGAUGAAGUAUUUCGGUAUGUAAAGUUCUAUCAGCAGGGAAGAAAAAUGACGGUACCUGACUAAGAAGCACCGGCUAAAUACGUGCCAGCAGCCGCGGUAAUACGUAUGGUGCAAGCGUUAUCCGGAUUUACUGGGUGUAAAGGGAGCGCAGGCGGUACGGCAAGUCUGAUGUGAAAGCCCGGGGCUUAACCCCGGUACUGCAUUGGAAACUGUCGAACUAGAGUGUCGGAGGGGUAAGCGGAAUUCCUAGUGUAGCGGUGAAAUGCGUAGAUAUUAGGAGGAACACCAGUGGCGAAGGCGGCUUACUGGACGAUAACUGACGCUGAGGCUCGAAAGCGUGGGGAGCAAACAGGAUUAGAUACCCUGGUA